AAAGGGAAUAAAUGCAGGCUGCCCCUGCCGUAUGUGGCAACCGACUGAAGUGGGUUUGUGUGAUGUGGAAGGUUUGUUCUUUUUGUUUUGCCAGUAAUUUUUGUUGCUGUUGGUUGAGUGGGUCCUUGCUAACUUUAUGAGCUGUAACACUCACCAUGAAGGUCUGCAGCUUCACUCCUGAAGCUGGCAAGACCACGAACCCACCAGAAGGAAGAAAUUCGGGACAUAUCUGAACAUCAGAGGGAGCAAACUGUGGACCCGCCAUUUUUAAGAAUUGUAACACUCACUGCGAGGGUCCGCAGUGUGUUCUUGAAGUCUGGGAGACCAAGAACCCACCAAUUCGGGACACAUUGAUACCACUCUGGGACAAUAAGAGGAACUAGCAUUGUUCUGAGACCAAACUGUGGACUUCUAGAGUGUUCUGCUACAGUACAUGUGGGAGAUGAUUGUGAAAGUGUUUAUCUUACCCUGAGAAAACCUGAGAAAAGAAAAUCUUUCUAAAUGACCUAGAGAAACACACAUAACUGAAAAAAUGUAUAAAUAAUAAUAUCUCUACCUAUAUAUGUUAAAAUAUAUUCUAGACUUCUAGAGUGUUCUGCUGCAGCAUAUGUGGGAGUUGAUUGUGAAAGUGUUUAUCUUACCCUGAGAAAAACUGAGAAAAGAAAAUCUAUCUAAAUGACCUACAGAAACACACAUAACUGAAAAAAAUAUAUAAAUAAUAAUAUCUCUGCCUAUAUAUGUUAAAAUGUAUUCUACCUAUGAUUAUCAGAUGACAGUUGGCAUCAAGUAUGCUGGACAACUGGCAUGAAGAUAUGACUUUUUUUUCUGAAAUAUUUUUAGAAUCUUCCAGUUUUUACAAACUCAAACCUAAGCCCAAAAUGUACAUUUGCAUUUGCUGUAUUUAAACCUUAGGAAAAUUUUCCAUCUUGUUGAAUUCAUGUCCAUGUUUUACUUCCAUGCUUUUCUAAGAACUAAAGGGACCACUAUUUUAGGGUUUCUAAAUGGAAUUAAUUUGCGUAUCUGAAACACAUCUCUGCAUAUUUCUCUAGAAAAACCACGUAGGGUACCCUAUUUGCUAUGUAUGCAGAAGAACUGUGGAAUGUGGAAUGAAAGAAAUUAAAGAUUUCCACUGUAUA
Molecule: long non-coding RNA, 1136 nt
Organism: Pongo pygmaeus (Bornean orangutan)
Lineage: Eukaryota; Metazoa; Chordata; Mammalia; Primates; Hominidae
Exons: 2
Source: RefSeq, a predicted model, not a curated record